Molecule: long non-coding RNA, 563 nt
Organism: Phascolarctos cinereus (koala)
Lineage: Eukaryota; Metazoa; Chordata; Mammalia; Diprotodontia; Phascolarctidae
Source: RefSeq, a predicted model, not a curated record
AGGGAAGAAGAUCCAGACAUAUGCUCACCUGACAAGAAGAGACAUACCCAGAAACAAAGCUGAAAAUGCCAAAACGGCUCUGAGGACCCAGACAAGUAUUGUCAACAAGGAACUGAUUGAGCUACUAACCCAUGAUGCCAGAAACCCUGUGAGGGGUUUGUGAGCUGCAUCUAGGAGCUGCAAGAGAGUGUUCUCAUGAGAAGAUUGGGAGAAUGACUUUUCUGCAUGACUGAGAGAGGAUUCUCCUGACUCAAUUUCCCCACUAUGACACCUGGCAGACUUUAAGCCUGGCUCAAUGCAGUUGGCUAUUAAAUACCUUCUGCCUGUAAUUGACAUGAAGGAUGCCCAGCCUUCUUCCUAAUUCAACAAUGGCUUCAUGGAAUUCAUGAUAUUGAUAUAGAUAACAGGAACCAGCAAAGACUUCAGGAAAAAGUAGUCAAGCCACUUCAUUUCCAUUCCCUCAUCUGCAAAAACUUGGAACCUUAGGAAUUAUCCAAGACAAUACUUCACUUUAUAGAGAUGAGGAAAGUGAGCACAGCUCUUCCAGCCCAAGGAGAAGGUGG